This 74-nucleotide transfer RNA is filed under the name Alistipes sp. Its description in RNAcentral is "tRNA-Ala". It matches the Rfam family "tRNA". From Rfam's summary of the family: Transfer RNA (tRNA) molecules are approximately 80 nucleotides in length. Lineage: Bacteria; Pseudomonadati; Bacteroidota; Bacteroidia; Bacteroidales; Rikenellaceae. The record is from RNAcentral. RNAcentral also lists the same sequence under 1 other name.
GGGGGAUUAGCUCAGCUGGUUAGAGCGCUUGCAUGGCAUGCAAGAGGUCAUCGGUUCGAAUCCGAUAUUCUCCA